RNAcentral lists this ribosomal RNA (253 nucleotides) under uncultured bacterium. RNAcentral describes it as "partial 16S ribosomal RNA". It matches the Rfam family "Bacterial small subunit ribosomal RNA", at positions 524 to 776 of the family's 1533-position model. The record is from RNAcentral.
UACGUAGGGGGCAAGCGUUAUCCGGAUUUACUGGGUGUAAAGGGAGCGUAGACGGCGAUGCAAGCCAGAUGUGAAAGCCCGGGGCUCAACCCCGGGACUGCAUUUGGAACUGUAUAGCUAGAGUGUCGGAGAGGCAGGCGGAAUUCCUAGUGUAGCGGUGAAAUGCGUAGAUAUUAGGAGGAACACCAGUGGCGAAGGCGGCCUGCUGGACGAUGACUGACGUUGGGGCUCGAAAGCGUGGGGAGCAAACAGG